GAUGAACGCUGGCGGCGUGCCUAAUACAUGCAAGUCGAGCGAACAGAUAAGGAGCUUGCUCCUUUGACGUUAGCGGCGGACGGGUGAGUAACACGUGGAUAACCUACCUAUAAGACUGGGAUAACUUCGGGAAACCGGAGCUAAUACCGGAUAACAUAUUGAACCGCAUGGUUCAAUAGUGAAAGGCGGCUUUGCUGUCACUUAUAGAUGGAUCCGCGCCGUAUUAGCUAGUUGGUAAGGUAACGGCUUACCAAGGCAACGAUACGUAGCCGACCUGAGAGGGUGAUCGGCCACACUGGAACUGAGACACGGUCCAGACUCCUACGGGAGGCAGCAGUAGGGAAUCUUCCGCAAUGGGCGAAAGCCUGACGGAGCAACGCCGCGUGAGUGAUGAAGGUCUUCGGAUCGUAAAACUCUGUUAUCAGGGAAGAACAAAUGUGUAAGUAACUGUGCACAUCUUGACGGUACCUGAUCAGAAAGCCACGGCUAACUACGUGCCAGCAGCCGCGGUAAUACGUAGGUGGCAAGCGUUAUCCGGAAUUAUUGGGCGUAAAGCGCGCGUAGGCGGUUUUUUAAGUCUGAUGUGAAAGCCCACGGCUCAACCGUGGAGGGUCAUUGGAAACUGGAAAACUUGAGUGCAGAAGAGGAAAGUGGAAUUCCAUGUGUAGCGGUGAAAUGCGCAGAGAUAUGGAGGAACACCAGUGGCGAAGGCGACUUUCUGGUCUGUAACUGACGCUGAUGUGCGAAAGCGUGGGGAUCAAACAGGAUUAGAUACCCUGGUAGUCCACGCCGUAAACGAUGAGUGCUAAGUGUUAGGGGG
RNAcentral lists this ribosomal RNA (820 nucleotides) under Staphylococcus warneri. Its description in RNAcentral is "bacterial SSU rRNA". It matches the Rfam family "Bacterial small subunit ribosomal RNA", at positions 28 to 830 of the family's 1533-position model. Lineage: Bacteria; Bacillati; Bacillota; Bacilli; Caryophanales; Staphylococcaceae. The record is from RNAcentral.